CGCCUACGGGCGGCAGCAGUGGGGAAUAUUGGACAAUGGGCGAAAGCCUGAUCCAGCCAUGCCGCGUGAGUGAUGAAGGCCUUAGGGUUGUAAAGCUCUUUCAGUGGGGAAGAUAAUGACGGUACCCACAGAAGAAGCCCCGGCUAACUUCGUGCCAGCAGCCGCGGUAAUACGAAGGGGGCUAGCGUUGUUCGGAUUUACUGGGCGUAAAGCGCACGUAGGCGGCUCGUUAAGCCGGGGGUGAAAUCCUGGGGCUCAACUCCAGAACUGCCUUCGAUACUGGCGAUCUUGAGUCCGGAAGAGGUGAGUGGAACUCCUAGUGUAGAGGUGGAAUUCGUAGAUAUUAGGAAGAACACCAGUGGCGAAGGCGGCUCACUGGUCCGGUACUGACGCUGAGGUGCGAAAGCGUGGGGAGCAAACAGGAUUAGAUACCCUAGUAGUCG
Molecule: ribosomal RNA, 443 nt
Filed under: uncultured Devosia sp.
Lineage: Bacteria; Pseudomonadati; Pseudomonadota; Alphaproteobacteria; Hyphomicrobiales; Devosiaceae
Description: bacterial SSU rRNA
Rfam family: Bacterial small subunit ribosomal RNA
Source: RNAcentral